This 354-nucleotide transfer-messenger RNA is filed under the name bovine gut metagenome. It matches the Rfam family "transfer-messenger RNA". Rfam says of the family: Bacterial tmRNA, also known as 10Sa RNA or SsrA, is named for its dual tRNA and mRNA-like properties. Its role is to liberate the mRNA from a stalled ribosome. The record is from RNAcentral.
GGGGUUGUACUGGUUUCGACGGGGUUUUUGAAGUUAGAGAAGCCAUCUGUGGACCAGGACCACAUAAAAACUUGGAAAAUAAAUAUAAACGCUAACGAAAAUUUAGCUUACGCUGCCUAGUUGCAGCUGUCAGCCUUAAGUCACCUGCUGCUUAAGAGUCUGGCAUCGACCUUGCAGGGCACUUCUUUACCAAAGCUUUGAGGUAUUGGAAGAUUUAUGAAGCUACCAAGCCUGUUGGGAUGUCUGUGAACCAGCAGAUGAGGGAAUGCGACUUUCGUCAAAAUCAUAGACUGUGAUGGGAGAUGCUUUAAUGAAUGGAAUUUCGGACAGGGGUUCGAUUCCCCUCAGCUCCAU